Pseudophryne corroboree (corroboree frog) is the source of this 1923-nucleotide long non-coding RNA. RefSeq lists it as uncharacterized. Lineage: Eukaryota; Metazoa; Chordata; Amphibia; Anura; Myobatrachidae. The record is from RefSeq and is a predicted model, not a curated record. The transcript is spliced from 4 exons.
GCUGCUGCUGGCCGGGACACAUGGAGGACCGGAACUGGAAGUGUCGUGCACGGAGCGGAAAGGAGCGAGAAAGAGCGGGCUGCAGGCUCUGGUGCCGGCUACAGGAGUUGGGAACUGGGGUGCACGGAGCAGGAAGUUUUGUGAAAGAGCCAGGACAAGUGUGAAUAAGGUCCCGGAAGCAAGGUGCAGGACGCUGAAGGUCGAUGUUACUGGCUGGUGGAGAGACUGCACUGUGAACGAGGAGCAGGUGAAGUGCCGGAAGCCAGGUGCACAUCAGCAAGUGGGACGGAGGUGCACUGAGCCUGAGCGACUGCAAGGGAAGAAGACACUGGAGAGAGAAGGGAGGAGGUGAAGUGGUGCCGCAGUAGAGUGCCCUCGUAGAUAAGUAUUAGCGUUCCUACUUUAUUGUAUAAGUGAUUGUUUUUCUUCUUUUUUCUCUCCCCUUGUCCUUGAUUGAAUUACCAAUUUCUGUUCUGUUGUGAAUAUUGUUUCUAUUCACAGCUAGACCAUAGUACAGUAUUGUAUUGCAUAGUUUGUAUUGUUUGUAUUGUUUUUCAGAAGGUAAUAGGGAGUUAGAGUCAUCAAUUAAACGGGUGGGGCUGUGAUUGAGAAUCUCACUCAGUGCAUGUCAUGUAUGAUGUAUGCGCACCGAAAUGCGCGAGAUGUGUGCGAAUGGCUGCCCUGGAAGCCCAGGUAACCGAUCUAGAGCAGACCAUUACAAGACUGAGAGAUAUUCACAAACUCAAGUAAAGCUUAGAUAGAACAGUGGAGGAGUUGCAGGGACACACACCGGCAGUUGAGGACAACCAGGUAUCCAGCUGAGUCACAGUUAGAAGGAAGAAAAAGAGGGGGAGGCACGACAUCUCUGAACUACCAAACCCCAAUAAAUUCACCCGAUUGGACAAAGAUUCGGUGGAUGGUAGUGAAGAAAUGACGGAGCUGGAGCAGACUGUUCUCCCUAGCAACCGGAGGAGCAGUCCCUCUGACACAGAUGGGACAAAAAAAAGAGAGGUACCUAGUCAGAUUGUGGUGCUAGGGGAUUCUAUUAUCAGGACGACAGAUAGGCCAAUUUGCUACCAGGAUCGUGAUCGCUGUACAGUCUGUUGUCUCCCAGGUGCUCGGGUAUGGCACAUCGCUGACCGGGUAGAAAGAUUGUUGGGUGGGGCUGAGAAUGACCCGGCAGUCUUGAUGCACGUUGGCACCAACGACAAAGUUAGUGGAUAGGUGGGAUGUCCCUAAAGAAGAUUAUAGGGAUUUAGGCUAGAAACUAAAGGCAAGGACAUCUAAGAUAAUAUUCUCAGAAAUAUUACCUGUGCCACAGGCAGCAACACCGCCAGCGCAGAAAGUGAUCGCAGCGCUGAUCGCAUGAAGACUGACAGGCGGAAGGCGUUCCAGGGCGUCAACUGACCGUUUUCCAGGCGUGGUGAGGCGAACGCAGGCGGAUCCAGGCGUUUGGAGGGCGGAUGUCUGACAUCGAUUCCGGGACCUUUGGCGCUGGAUCCGUCUCACAGGACAGGGACAGCUCGAUGGCCAUUUGAGUGGAGUGGCGGGACACAUGACUGAUUUGGCAGAGGACCUCCAGUUCAGAAGCGGACCUCAGACAGUGAGACAUGGGACAAAGAUCCGCAGGCCCGCAGCUUGGGUGUCACAAAGAAGAGCAGCCCGUAGUAGCAGGACAAAUGUUGCACAGGAGGAUGCUGCUGCUACUACAGUCCCAUCCAGGCCACACCUUAGUCCGCAAAUGCGCACAGGACAACCAACAUCCAGCCGCAAACACGUGGCGUUGAAAAGACCACGGCCAGAUCUCCCGAGGGCCACAUCUGCAUCUCCCCCUCACAGACGCAUCUCUACUGUGUCCUCAAGGCCACCAUCACAAUUACUGGCACCUUCCCCAACACGGGAAGCAGAAUCCCCUCAUCUGGC